UACAGAGGUCUCAAGCGUUGUUCGGAAUUACUGGGCGUAAAGGGUGCGCAGGCCGCGCGGGCAGUCAAAUGUGUAAUCCAGGGGCUCAACCCCCUGAACUGCGCUUGAUACUUCCGCGCUCGAGCUUUGGAGAGGAGUCUGGAAUUCUCGGUGUAGCAGUGAAAUGCGUGGAUAUCGAGAAGAACACUUAGGCGUAGGCAAGACUCUGGACAAAUGCUGAC
This 221-nucleotide ribosomal RNA is filed under the name uncultured bacterium. RNAcentral's name for it is "partial 16S ribosomal RNA". It matches the Rfam family "Bacterial small subunit ribosomal RNA", at positions 524 to 744 of the family's 1533-position model. The record is from RNAcentral.